Boletus coccyginus is the source of this 81-nucleotide non-coding RNA. NCBI's taxonomy places the organism in Eukaryota, Fungi, Basidiomycota, Agaricomycetes, Boletales, Boletaceae. The record is from the annotation of a GenBank genome assembly.
GGGCACUUGGCACAGUUGGUAGCGCGCACGCUUCGCAUUGUGGAUUGCGUGAGGUCGUGGGUUCAACUCCCACAGUGUCCA